Molecule: ribosomal RNA, 321 nt
Filed under: uncultured eukaryote
Lineage: Eukaryota
Description: partial 18S ribosomal RNA
Rfam family: Eukaryotic small subunit ribosomal RNA
Source: RNAcentral
CCCUUAGAUGUUCUGGGCUGCACGCGUGUUACAAUCGGGAGUACAACAAGAUUGCAAAUCCUAGUGGAUGAGUGGUUCUUCGAAAUUUUCUGAAGACUGGGAUAGUUGAUUGAAAUUAUUCAACUCAAACGAGGAAUUCCUUGUAAUUGUAAUUCAUUAUACUGUAAUGAAUACGUCCCUGCCCUUUGUACACACCGCCCGUCGCUCCUACCGAUUGAACGAUCCGGUGAAUUAUUUGGAGUAGCUCUGGAAGUUGCAGAACUUCCUAUGUCACGAAAUUUUGUAAACCUUAUCGUUUAGAGGAAGACAAAGUCGUAACAA